RNAcentral lists this ribosomal RNA (453 nucleotides) under uncultured bacterium. Its description in RNAcentral is "bacterial SSU rRNA". It matches the Rfam family "Bacterial small subunit ribosomal RNA", at positions 340 to 786 of the family's 1533-position model. The record is from RNAcentral.
UACGGAAGGCAGCAGUGGGGAAUAUUGCACAAUGGGCGCAAGCCUGAUGCAGCCAUGCCGCGUGUAUGAAGAAGGCCUUCGGGUUGUAAAGUACUUUCAGCGGGGAGGAAGGCGAUGCGGUUAAUAACCGCGUCGAUUGACGUUACCCGCAGAAGAAGCACCGGCUAACUCCGUGCCAGCAGCCGCGGUAAUACGGAGGGUGCAAGCGUUAAUCGGAAUUACUGGGCGUAAAGCGCACGCAGGCGGUCUGUUAAGUCAGAUGUGAAAUCCCCGGGCUUAACCUGGGAACUGCAUUUGAAACUGGCAGGCUUGAGUCUUGUAGAGGGGGUAGAAUUCCAGGUGUAGCGGUGAAAUGCGUAGAGAUCUGGAGGAAUACCGGUGGCGAAGGCGGCCCCUGGGACAAAGCUGACGCUCAGGUGCGAAAGCGUGGGGAGCAAACGAGGAUUAGAUACC